RNAcentral lists this ribosomal RNA (435 nucleotides) under uncultured bacterium. RNAcentral describes it as "partial 16S ribosomal RNA". It matches the Rfam family "Bacterial small subunit ribosomal RNA", at positions 29 to 507 of the family's 1533-position model. The record is from RNAcentral.
AGCGAACGCUGGCGGCAGGCUUAACACAUGCAAGUCGAGCGGGCAUAGCAAUAUGUCCGCGGCAGACGGGUGAGUAACGCGUGGGAACGUACCUUUUGGUUCGGAACAACACAGGGAAACUUGUGCUAAUACCGGAUAAGCCCUUACGGGGAAAGAUUUAUCGCCGAAAGAUCGGCCCGCGUCUGAUUAGCUAGUUGGUGAGGUAAUGGCUUACCAAGGCGACGAUCAGUAGCUGGUCUGAGAGGAUGAUCAGCCACAUUGGGACUGAGACACGGCCCAAACUCCUACGGGAGGCAGCAGUGGGGAAUAUUGGACAAUGGGCGCAAGCCUGAUCCAGCCAUGCCGCGUGAGUGAUGAAGGCCCUAGGGUUGUAAAGCUCUUUUGUGCGGGAAGAUAAUGACGGUACCGCAAGAAUAAGCCCCGGCUAACUUCGUG